Cyprinus carpio carpio is the source of this 762-nucleotide long non-coding RNA. The record is from Ensembl. NCBI's taxonomy places the organism in Eukaryota, Metazoa, Chordata, Actinopteri, Cypriniformes, Cyprinidae.
GUUAUGGUAAAGGCUUGGGUUCAAAUCCCGCUCCAGCAUGUUUAAACUUUCACUGGUUUAUGUCACAGGUGAACGGUGAAAUAUAAGUUCUUUUACAUGUUCACACUAGAGAUCUGUGGCUCACAGGUAAGAGUACUGCCUCAUGGUUCAGAGGUGCCUCAUGGUUCAGCUGGUUCGAUUCCAGUCAGAUCUCUGCUAUAUGAGUGAAGGAGUGAUUCGAAAUAGACUCUGCCAAAGCUUUAACUAGUUUAAAAGCACAUGUAGGUUAAUAGUGAAAUAUAAGUUCCUUCACAUUCAACAAAGUACCACAAAAGUCAGGCACAAAAUGUGAAAACCACAAUGGGUUAGUGGUUAAUCAGAUGUUUUCGGAUGAUAAGACUGUGAUUGAGGCAUGGGUUCAAAUCCCAUCUCAGUGACAAAAAUCAGCCAACUGAUAGCUUUAACUGUUUUAUUAUAAAAGCACAUGCAGGUGAACAGUGAAAUAUAAGUUCCUUCACAUGUUCAGACAAGAGAUCUGUGGCUCACAGGUAAGAGUACUGCCUCAUGGUUCAGAGGUUGCUGGUUCGAUCCCAGCCAGAUCUCCGCGAUAUGAGUGAGUGUUGUGUGAAUGAAGGGAUGGGGACGAUUCGGGUCCCCCCCGAGCCCCGGCACCAUGUCCAGCAGGGGUUAUACUUCUUGACAGAAAAAAAAUAAAAUUUUGCUGUAUAAAUUUUCAGCUCCGCCGUCCCUUCCCCACCUGUUUAGGUUACCAUCAUUUGCUUU